Molecule: ribosomal RNA, 275 nt
Filed under: uncultured bacterium
Lineage: Bacteria
Description: partial 16S ribosomal RNA
Rfam family: Bacterial small subunit ribosomal RNA
Source: RNAcentral
CCUACGGGGGGCUGCAGUAGGGAAUAUUGGACAAUGGAGGCAACUCUGAUCCAGCCAUGCCGCGUGAGUGAUGAAGGCCUUAGGGUUGUAAAGCUCUUUUAGUGGGGAAGAUAAUGACGGUACCCACAGAAAAAACUCCGGCUAACUCUGUGCCAGCAGCCGCGGUAAUACAGAGGGAGUUAGCGUUGUUCGGAAUUACUGGGCGUAAAGGGCGCGUAGGCGGCUUUUUAAGUUAGAAGUGAAAGCCCGGGGCUUAACCUCGGAAUUGCUUUUAA